This 5986-nucleotide long non-coding RNA is filed under the name Homo sapiens (human). Its description in RNAcentral is "HSALNT0128436". Lineage: Eukaryota; Metazoa; Chordata; Mammalia; Primates; Hominidae. The record is from RNAcentral.
CACAACCAAGUGAGCACUGGAAACCUGGUCAUAGGAAAUGAAACAGACUGCUGUUUUCAUGAGUGACCUGUUCUCGAGCCUAAGAAUCUCUUGGGCCACCCAGCCCCACAGAGGCCAGUAGGAGGUCAACUCUCCACCUCCCUAAAAAAAAAAAAAACGAGUGUGCGAGAAGUAUGUUGUAAUUGAAGUAGCAUACUGCCUGACACCCAAGAGGUUGCUCUGUAAGUGAAUUGCCUUUCACCUCCUGCCAUGAUUCUGAGGCCCCCAGCCAUGUGGAACUGGAGAAGGGAGAUGAAAUAAUACCAGCAUCCUGAACCUGAAUGUCCAGCUUCGCCUUGUUCUUUGUGGAUUAUAAGACCAUUGAUUAAAUAAAUCCUUUCAUCAAAAUUAUCUUAAAAAAGAAACUACCAUCUAAAUCCAGUUAUUCCAUCUGACUUGGUAGCAGUGAUGUUUGGAGUUUAGGACCUAAAGGUGAAAUGGGGAAAAUCUGGGUGCUCGGAAAGACACCAGAAGCACACAGAAGAAGAUCAUAUGAAGACACAACAAGAAGGUGACUAGCUGCAAGCCAAGAAGAGAAGCCUCAGAAGAAAUCAAACGUACUAGCACCUUGAUCUUGGAAUUCCAGUCUCCAAAGCUGCGAGAAAAUAAAAUUCUGUUGCUUAAGCUGCCAAGACUAUGGUAUUUUCUUAUGGCAAUCUUAGCAAAAUAACCCUAUUAGCAAACAAAUGCAUACAAAAUCUCUGUAAAUACAGCAGGUUUCCUUUUUAAAAAAACUCUUUAUUUUGAAAAAUUAUAGUUCUACAACAAAUAAUAAAAAAGAUAUACAGGAUGGUCCUAUUUACUCUUGACUCAGUUUCCCUUAUAGUAACAUCUUAUAUAACUACUAGGAAAAUGAUGUUGAUACAUUCCACAUAUCUUGUUAAAAUUUAACCAGUUUUACAUGUAUUAGUUUGUUCUAUGCAAUUUUCUUGCAUGUGUAGACCCAUGUUACCACUACCAUAGAGAAAAUCCAGAAUCAUUCCAUCACCAGAGGCUCCUUCAUGCUGUCUCUUUAUACUCAUUCUUACCUCUUUCUCUAGCUCAUCCCUAACCCCUCACAACCAUUAAUCUGUUCUCCAUCUCUACAACCCUGUUAUUUCAAGAAUGCCAUAUAAUGAGAAUCAAAAUUAAGUGAACUUUUGGGACUAUUUUCACUCAGAAUAAUUCUCUUGAAAUUCAGCCAAGUUAUUGUGUGCAACAAUAACUCAUUCCUUCUUAUUGCGGAGUAGUAGUCCAUGAUAUGGAUGCACUACAGGUUCCUUAACCACUUACUAGGAUAUUACAGUUGUUUACAGUUUGAAGCUAUUAUGACUAAAGCUGACGCUCACAUUUAUAUAUAAGUUUUUAUACAGAAAUAUGUCUCCAUUUCUCUGGAAAAAAAAUCCCAAGGGUACAAUUGCCGAGUCAAAUGUUAAGUGAAUGUUUACUUUAAAAGUGUUAUAUUGUUUUUUAGAGUGGGUGUACCAUUUUACAUUACCAUCAGCAAUGUAUAAGAGGUCCUGUUUCUCAGUAUCAGGCAAUAGAUAAUGUAUGUGCCAUGUAUACGUUUCCAGAACAUGAAAGUAUAGGAAUCUUCUUUUAUUUUAUUAUGUUAGCAUACCCUUCACACUCAAACCUAGCUGUGUGCUGAAAAGGUGAUUCUCUGGAAUUUAAGGAACUUAAAACCCCUGAUUUAUAGCAACUGCAUAUUUUCCAGUUGUGGCUAUUUCCCACCGUGGUUUUCAAACUACCCACAUGACUUAAUUGAAAGUGAAUUAAGGAAAAAAAUACUCACAAGUAGUUCUCACACAGUUCUCACUGGCACAAGCCAGUUCCAGCACACUGCUGCACAUACACAAACAUAUGCACACAUGCAUACACACAUAUAUACACACAUGCAUAUUCACAGACACAUAAAAACACAGAUGCAUAGAGACACCAGAUUUAUCUCCUUCAUUCGUACAGAUGGACCAUUAAAUAAGAUGACAAGAUGAAUUUAAUAGCAUGACAUAAUCAAAUAUAGAGACAGAUAUAAAAUACAUAGAGUAUGAAACUAUGAAACAAUUUUGGAAAUAAAAGUGUAUAUUAAUGUGCAAAUAUAUGUAUAGAAUAUGAGACUGAAAACACCAAAAUGUUGAUACUGUUUAUUUCUGGGUAGUUGGAUGACAAGUGAAUUUAGUUUUUCUGAUUGUGCUUUUCUUUAUCUUUAAGGAACAUGUUUUCUUUUAAUCAGAAAGAAAUAAUUACAUAUAUAUGUAAUUAACAUAUAUUGUAUAAUAUAUAUCACAUAUAUUCCACAUAUAUGGAAUAUAUAUUGUGUUUUAAAGUUUAAAAUGUGAGGAGACCACGUCAAUGAGGAACUUGGAACCAAGUAAAACAUGGAUGGAUAUGUGACAAUAUUGUGGAAUAGAGUGAAAAUUCAGCUCAGAAAUAGUGAAGCUUAUUUUAAAUGGAAACUAAAAUAAGAUCAUGUGGAUUAAAUUAGAGAUAUUUCCAGGAGAAGAUAUGUUUGAGCAUAACUUUCCUCUCCUCCCUAUCUGAGGAAAAUUCUGGAAGAGACUUCAUACGUAUCUAUAUUUGUAUCUAUGUCAGAAAAGGAGAGAAGUAAGGCCUGGGAGGCAGCUUGCUGUUGUGAAAGGAAAAUGAAGUCAGAUGAUCCUUAAUUUGGAUACUCUUUCUUACCAUUUGGGGCAAGUUACUUCCUCAAAGCCUCAAUUUCUUCUUCUCUAGCAUGAGAUUAAUAUUUGUGAUUCAUCAGAAGGUUAAACAAAGCAAUUUUUACAAAGUAAAAAGCAAAUUUUACAAAGAAGGCUUUCAUUUUGUUCUGUCCUAUUUUAUUCUAAAUUAUGGUAUGUUACCCAAAUCCCAGUGGGAGCUUUUGUGAGUGAAUGACAUUAAAAAAUUACUGGAACAGGAAAUAUUUCCCUUUAAUGAACUAGAUGAGAUUUUUUAAAAAAAAACCACUAAUUAUGUAUUUUACAUUAUGGAAACAGAGAUUAUAUAAUGAUAAAAAGAUGUGUAUUAUAUUUUAAAAAAUAGUUACAAAAAGUAAAUCUUUUGUUUUCAUGUGAUCCAUUCAUUUGUCCAUUAUUCAACAGAUAUUUAUACAAUACUAAUUCAGUGAAAACCAGCAUUAGCUUAGGAGAAAGUAUUAGGAAGUACAAGAUUAAUGACAUCUGGGACCAAGAAAUUUUCAGUAAAAUCAAUGAAUGGCAUUUUGCUUAUUUCGGAACAGCAAAAUAGAAAUAGUCAAUACUAUAGUCUCUGCAUCUAGUCCUUCUGUGUGAAUAUGUAUCUAGAGGCUUAUGCAAAAUAAUGCCUAAGGUUAGGACAAGCACUUUUAUUCAGCUGAUAAUAAAAUAUAUAAAGUGUACAAUGAAUAUCCAAAUGUAUAAUAAUCUAAUCCAGAAUUACUCAAUCUAUGAAUUAUUAAGAUAUGGUAAGGACAAGAUUAAAACUAUGUUUUUCUGCCUGGCUGUCUUUAAACUAUUGUUACAUGGCAACCCUUUAACAACCCAGUAGUUAGCCAUGAUCAUUGUAUUAGGCUGCUUGGGUUGCUGUAACAAAAUGUUAAUACCAUAGACUGGGUGGCUUAAAUAACAGACCUUUAUUUCUCACAGUUCUGGAGGUUGGGAAGUCCAAGAUCAAGGUGCUGGCCAAUUCUGUUCCUGCCUCUCUUUUCUGGCUUAUAUAUUUCUGCCUUUUUGCCGUGUCCUUGCAAGGCAGAGAAAUAUCUUCUCCUACUCCAAUUCUUCCUUCUACUCCUUCUUUUUCUUCAUAAGCCACUAAUCCUAUCAUGACAGCCCUAUUCUCAUUACCUCAUUCAACCUUAAUUAUCUCCCAAAGGGCCCACAUCCAAAUACCGUCAUAUUGAGGGUUAAGGCUUCAACAUCUGAGUUUUGGGGGAGACACAAUUUGGUCCAGAGCAACCAUCAUUUUGCUAAUGCCAUCUGGCUUGUGAAAUAUUAAUAGCAAGUCUAAGACUUUUCUCAAUAUUCAAAGAGGAAGGCUCAAAGAGAUUUUGAUAGUUUUUGGUUGUUUGUGAAUAUAUACAAGCUGAAUAGAAGUUUCAGUGUAAGGAUGGUAUCACACCCUUUCUCACCACCUACUCCCAAAUUUUGAAAGCCAUUACUUGAGAAAUAGACAUCCUCUUGGUGUUGUCAAUGUUCCUGAAUACACAAUAAUUGUUAAUACAUUUUGCAAAGAGAAUAUGCACCGUUGAAAGGGAAUAUUACUUAUUCAUUCAUUCAAAAAAUUAUUGAGCGCUGCUAUUUUCCAAGCACUUUUCUGAAUGCUAAGAAUAUAGGAAUAAUCAAAAGAGAAAAAGUCUCUUCUCUCAAAGAGCAUAUUGCCUUGUGUUGGAGGCAAACCAUAAUUAAACAGACAAGUGAAUAUCUAGUUUGUCAGAUAAUGAUUAGUCCUAUGGAGAAGUAUAAAGCAGGAUACAGGAAAUGGGGAGGGCUGGUAGGUGGGGAGAAGAGUGGUUAUUUUAUGUAGGUAAACAGGGAACCUGAAGUAAAUAAGGGAGUGAGCCAUGCUGAUGUCAGGAGAAAAGUUUCAGAAGGUGAGGAGAACAAAUGCAGAGGCCACAAGGUGAGAGAAUGCUUAGGUGUAUGAAAGACAGCAAGGAGCCCAGUGUAUAUAGACCAACUGAACCAGAGGAAGAAUCAUAGGAGGUGAGAACGGUAAUGUAGGGGAAGAUUACGCUAAACCCUGUAUGUUAUUGUAAGAAUUUUAGCUUUUGCUGGGAGUGAGAUAGGCUACUGAAGGUUUAUGAGCAGAGGAAUCUUAUCAGAUUUAGGUUUUAAAAGUGAAAUGUGUUGGUUGUAGAAACAGCUGACUUUAGAUGGAUAAGGCAGAAAAAGUGAGAUUAAUUGCAAGAUCGUUGCAAUAAUCUAGGAGUUAAAUGGAGGUUGAAUGAAUAAGGGAGAAUGGAAGGGUGAGUGAGAAGGAAUCAGGUUUUAGAUACAUUUAGAAGAAAGAGCUAGAGCCAGCUGACAGCAUUUGCUAAUGGAUUGCAUAUGAAAGAAAGAAGUCAAGGAUAAUCCAAGUUAUUUGGUAUGAACAACGGAGAAACGAAGUUGCCAUUUGUAAAAUAAGUAAGGCUGAGGAAGGAGCAGGUUUGGGGAAAAUGGGAAAUUGAAGUCAAUUCCAGAUCAGUUAUGUUUGAGAAGCCAAUUAGAUACACACAAGGAAAUUCUGAGGAAGGAGUUAGUAUUAUUAAUUUCACUUUAGGAGAGAGAUAUGGGAUUGAGUUUGACGGUGAGUAGUUGUCACUUACAGAUGAUACAUCAAAUCACGUGACAGGAUGAGAUCCUAGAAAGUGAAUGCAAUUACAAAAGGAAUGAGGUCCGAGAAAACCUACUUGGGGCAUUCUAAAGUCAGUGGUCUGAGCGGUCAGAAGGAAUUUACAAAGGAACUGAGAAGAAGAGCCAAUGAGAAAGGGAACUUCUUUUUUUUCACAGUGAGUGCUUGUGAACUUUAAAGGAAUGUGUGAUGAGGAGACUUUUUUUUUAAAUAACUGGAAUUAUAUCUUUCUUUUCUAAUGGUCUAGUAGGAAAAACUGUUUCCUUUAGGGGAGAGGGCAAUUGCUGGAGUAAUAUCCUUAAGUAAUAUCACAAUUUAUUUAUAGUAACAGGAGAGAAUGUCAGGUAUUCAGGUGCAUAGGCAGAUAGAUUGGUACAUGUGGUUGUGGGAGCAUGAGGAACUUCUCUCUUCUUUCUUUUUAAUUCUCACUGACGCAGGAAGUAGACUCCUUGCUGGCAUGACUAUGAAGGCAGAAGAUUAAAGGUUUUUUUCUUUUUUUAAUUUAAAAUUUUUAAUUUUUGUGAGUACAUGGAAGAUUAAAAUUUGAAGAAGACAGCUUAGAAAUCUGGGAAAAUAGACCAUCCUGGCUAACACAGUGAAACCCCUUCUGUACUAAAAAUGCAAACAAUUAGCUGGGUGUGGUGGCGGGCGCCUGUAGUCG